This is a long non-coding RNA of Neocloeon triangulifer, 867 nucleotides long. RefSeq lists it as uncharacterized. The record is from RefSeq and is a predicted model, not a curated record. The transcript has 3 exons. NCBI's taxonomy places the organism in Eukaryota, Metazoa, Arthropoda, Insecta, Ephemeroptera, Baetidae.
UCCGUAUUUUAAUUUCAAUUCAGUCCAAUGAAAUGUAUUUUCGCGAGUUAACGUCAUGCUUGGUACGGCUGGAUGCAGAUUCAAUAUGAAAUUUACGUUUUUUUGCUGAUGUGAAGAUGAAGAACGCAACGCAAAAGUGCAAUCCAAAUGGAAGGAACGAAUUACGCAAAUACGCACACUACAUAAUUAAUCACUUAAUCAGAUAAGUCAAACUCAUUGCUAUGGAAAUAUUUAACCGCUGGUCGCUGGUCCGCUGCCUGCCUUUUUGGUUUUGGAAUUUCUUUCCAAUUUUGGUAAAACGGGUUGUUAUUUUGCAGGAAGUACCUGAGUCGAGUCCUGUUAUCAGUUUUUAAGACUCUCUUGGCUGAAAAUUCGCAGCAAAGUAAUUUUUUAAUUCUUUGGCAGGGCAGCUGGAUUAGAAAUCUAUAAUUUUUUAUAAGAAUAUUUUUACUUUGUGUCAUUAUUAUUUGCAGUUCAAGAAGUCAACAAGACAAGGAAUCGACGUGCCCUGGUGCCCCCCGACUUUUCGAUCCCGACAAGAGACCUUACUAUGAUGUCUUUUACAUUUCAUUGAGCAUUUUCAAAUCUGUUGCAAAUGACCGGAUUUAAAGUAAAAAAAUUGAUUGCCAAAUAAUUACGAAACAAAACGGGAAGCCAGAUACAUAGGCUGCAGGCCACAAAUUACGACUAGAUUUCUGAUUUUAAGUCUCUUUCAAGACUCAAAAAGAAUCCUCAAUUGCCAACUGCCAACCCAUCCCAAGGCACUAACCGGAUUUUUGAAACCCAAAGAGGCAAUGGCAGCCUUAAGCCUUUAAUUUCACGGAACUAAUCUGGUGCAAUUCGUCAUGGACUUAUUGAAAAUAUUUU